UUUUAAGUCAAAUCUGCCCAAUGAAUAAAUUUAAAUAGCUGCAGUACAAAUAACUGUACUAAGGUAGCAUAAUAAUUUGUUUUUUAAUUAAAAACUAGAAUAAACGAUUUAAUGAAAUAUAAACUAUAUAAAUAUAAUAAAUUAAAAUUAUUAUUUAAGUAAAAAAACUUAAAUAAAUUUAAUAGACGAUAAGACCCUAUAAAAUUUUAUUUUAUUAUAAAUUAAAAGUUAAAAUAAUUUAUUUUUAUAUUUAAUAAUAAAAUUUAAUUGGGGUAAUUUAAAAAUUUAAAAAACUUUUUAAAAAAUAAACUUUAAUUUAAGAAAAAUAAAUUUUAAAUUUUAAAAUAUAAAAUUAAUUACUUUAGGGAUAACAGCAUAA
Molecule: ribosomal RNA, 379 nt
Filed under: Allorhogas scotti
Lineage: Eukaryota; Metazoa; Arthropoda; Insecta; Hymenoptera; Braconidae
Description: partial 16S ribosomal RNA
Source: RNAcentral